RNAcentral lists this non-coding RNA (68 nucleotides) under Brugia malayi. The record is from RNAcentral. Lineage: Eukaryota; Metazoa; Nematoda; Chromadorea; Rhabditida; Onchocercidae.
AUUGUGCGCACACGCAUGCAUGCAUGCACACGCACACGCAUGCAUGCAUGCACACGCACACGCAUGCA